RNAcentral lists this ribosomal RNA (1606 nucleotides) under Salmonella enterica subsp. enterica serovar Enteritidis. RNAcentral describes it as "partial 23S ribosomal RNA". It matches the Rfam family "Bacterial large subunit ribosomal RNA", at positions 1215 to 2803 of the family's 2925-position model. Lineage: Bacteria; Pseudomonadati; Pseudomonadota; Gammaproteobacteria; Enterobacterales; Enterobacteriaceae. The record is from RNAcentral.
UGUGUGUUGUUGGGUAGGGGAGCGUUCUGUAAGCCUGUGAAGGUGUGUCGUGAGGCAUGCUGGAGGUAUCAGAAGUGCGAAUGCUGACAUAAGUAACGAUAAAGCGGGUGAAAAGCCCGCUCGCCGGAAGACCAAGGGUUCCUGUCCAACGUUAAUCGGGGCAGGGUGAGUCGACCCCUAAGGCGAGGCCGAAAGGCGUAGUCGAUGGGAAACGGGUUAAUAUUCCCGUACUUGGUGUUACUGCGAAGGGGGGACGGAGAAGGCUAUGUUGGCCGGGCGACGGUUGUCCCGGUUUAAGCGUGUAGGUGUGUGUUCCAGGUAAAUCCGGUUCACUUUAACACUGAGGCGUGACGACGAGGCACUACGGUGCUGAAGCAACAAAUGCCCUGCUUCCAGGAAAAGCCUCUAAGCAUCAGGUAACAUCAAAUCGUACCCCAAACCGACACAGGUGGUCAGGUAGAGAAUACCAAGGCGCUUGAGAGAACUCGGGUGAAGGAACUAGGCAAAAUGGUGCCGUAACUUCGGGAGAAGGCACGCUGACACGUAGGUGAAGUGAUUUACUCAUGGAGCUGAAGUCAGUCGAAGAUACCAGCUGGCUGCAACUGUUUAUUAAAAACACAGCACUGUGCAAACACGAAAGUGGACGUAUACGGUGUGACGCCUGCCCGGUGCCGGAAGGUUAAUUGAUGGGGUCAGCGCAAGCGAAGCUCCUGAUCGAAGCCCCGGUAAACGGCGGCCGUAACUAUAACGGUCCUAAGGUAGCGAAAUUCCUUGUCGGGUAAGUUCCGACCUGCACGAAUGGCGUAAUGAUGGCCAGGCUGUCUCCACCCGAGACUCAGUGAAAUUGAACUCGCUGUGAAGAUGCAGUGUACCCGCGGCAAGACGGAAAGACCCCGUGAACCUUUACUAUAGCUUGACACUGAACAUUGAGCCUUGAUGUGUAGGAUAGGUGGGAGGCUUUGAAGUGUGGACGCCAGUCUGCAUGGAGCCGACCUUGAAAUACCACCCUUUAAUGUUUGAUGUUCUAACGUGGACCCGUUACCCGGGUUGCGGACAGUGUCUGGUGGGUAGUUUGACUGGGGCGGUCUCCUCCUAAAGAGUAACGGAGGAGCACGAAGGUUGGCUAAUCCUGGUCGGACAUCAGGAGGUUAGUGCAAUGGCAUAAGCCAGCUUGACUGCGAGCGUGACGGCGCGAGCAGGUGCGAAAGCAGGUCAUAGUGAUCCGGUGGUUCUGAAUGGAAGGGCCAUCGCUCAACGGAUAAAAGGUACUCCGGGGAUAACAGGCUGAUACCGCCCAAGAGUUCAUAUCGACGGCGGUGUUUGGCACCUCGAUGUCGGCUCAUCACAUCCUGGGGCUGAAGUAGGUCCCAAGGGUAUGGCUGUUCGCCAUUUAAAGUGGUACGCGAGCUGGGUUUAGAACGUCGUGAGACAGUUCGGUCCCUAUCUGCCGUGGGCGCUGGAGAACUGAGGGGGGCUGCUCCUAGUACGAGAGGACCGGAGUGGACGCAUCACUGGUGUUCGGGUUGUCAUGCCAAUGGCACUGCCCGGUAGCUAAAUGCGGAAGAGAUAAGUGCUGAAAGCAUCUAAGCACGAAACUUGCCCCGAG